Molecule: ribosomal RNA, 433 nt
Filed under: uncultured bacterium
Lineage: Bacteria
Description: partial 16S ribosomal RNA
Rfam family: Bacterial small subunit ribosomal RNA
Source: RNAcentral
AACGAACGCUGGCGGCAGGCCUAACACAUGCAAGUCGAGCGAGGACUUCGGUUCUAGCGGCGGACGGGUGAGUAACGCGUGGGAAUGUGCCCUUCUCUACGGAAUAGCCCUGGGAAACUGGGAGUAAUACCGUAUACGCCCUAUUGGGGAAAGAUUUAUCGGAGAAGGAUCAGCCCGCGUUGGAUUAGGUAGUUGGUGGGGUAAUGGCCUACCAAGCCGACGAUCCAUAGCUGGUUUGAGAGGAUGAUCAGCGACACUGGGACUGAGACACGGCCCAGACUCCUACGGGAGGCAGCAGUGGGGAAUCUUAGACAAUGGGGGCAACCCUGAUCGAGCCAUGCCGCGUGAGUGAUGAAGGCCUUAGGGUUGUAAAGCUCUUUCAGCUGGGAAGAUAAUGACGGUACCAGCAGAAGAAGCCCCGGCUAACUCCGUG